Molecule: ribosomal RNA, 229 nt
Filed under: uncultured bacterium
Lineage: Bacteria
Description: partial 16S ribosomal RNA
Rfam family: Bacterial small subunit ribosomal RNA
Source: RNAcentral
UACAGAGGGUGCAAGCGUUGCUCGGAAUUAUUGGGCGUAAAGGGUAGGUAGGUGGUCUCAUUUGUCAGGGUGAAAGCCCUGGGCUUAAACCCAGGAAGUGCCCUUGAAACGGUGGACUAGAGUAUUGGAGAGGGUCGUGGAAUUCCCGGCGUAGCGGUGAAAUGCGUAGAGAAUCGGGAGGGACAUCUGAGGCGAAGGCGGCGACCUGGACAUGACUGACACUCGAACU